This 433-nucleotide ribosomal RNA is filed under the name uncultured bacterium. RNAcentral describes it as "partial 16S ribosomal RNA". It matches the Rfam family "Bacterial small subunit ribosomal RNA", at positions 29 to 507 of the family's 1533-position model. The record is from RNAcentral.
AACGAACGCUGGCGGCAUGCCUAACACAUGCAAGUCGAACGAGACCUUCGGGUCUAGUGGCGCACGGGUGCGUAACGCGUGGGAACCUGCCCUUAGGUUCGGAAUAACUCCCCGAAAGGGGUGCUAAUACCGGAUAAUGUCUUCGGACCAAAGAUUUAUCGCCUUUGGAUGGGCCCGCGUUGGAUUAGCUAGUUGGUAGGGUAAAAGCCUACCAAGGCGACGAUCCAUAGCUGGUCUGAGAGGAUGAUCAGCCACACUGGGACUGAGACACGGCCCAGACUACUACGGGAGGCAGCAGUGGGGAAUAUUGGACAAUGGGCGAAAGCCUGAUCAAGCAAUGACGCGUGAGUGAUGAAGGCCUUAGGGUUGUAAAGCUCUUUUACCCGGGAUGAUAAUGACAGUACCGGGAGAAUAAGCUCCGGCUAACUCCGUG